UCCGUUGAUGGAAAUCAUACAUUUGUCAUACAAGAUAUUUCUCGUUUACUUUGUACUAUGUUGCUUUGCUGCAUAUGCAUAUACAGAGUAGUAAUAUUUUUCAGUCCAUGUUGAGGCCAUCUUCUGCCUGACCAAUAUAUCAUAUCACGGACCUGUCAGUCAGCUACUGGUACAGUGAGGCAGGCAUAACAGGAGUUCUGGGCCGUGUACAUCUGCGGCGGAGGAUACAUUUGUAUUUGCGCGGGAUCCAUCGACGGCAUGGGAUAACGCCGUACGUUAGGAGUGGUUACGUGAUUCUGGGUCUCCCGAAGAGAAUCACCGGAAUUCGACGGCCUGAGUCUAGGCGGUGGCGGGGGUUGUUUCGACUGGGUCGCCGGAAUCAGAGUCGACGACGGAGCGUUGUCGACGGAAUUAUGGCGAGAGAAGGUCGACGUGCUCGUGAUGGGCAAAGGAACUGGUCGCGACGACGGUAGCAAUGGCGGUUGACUAGGAAGACUUCUGCUCGCGCCGAGCGCUGCGUUCGAGCCGGAGAUACUCGUUUGACUGUUGUUGGAGCCGCUCGACGACGUCGUGAGGGUGCUCGAACUGGACUGGGUCACUUGCGAGGACGAAGUACGCGGAUUCGCGUUAUUCCUGCCACGACCCAUCGGCGAAUUGCUGCGACUAGGAGAUCGUGACUGGGACGGCGAAGACUGGCGGCUGACUAAAGGAGAAUGUGGAUAAGCCAGCACGUCGCCGGUAUGAUACAUCAGCUGGUUUCCCAUCAUAACCUGACCCGUCCACGCUGGCGGCAUAUGGUUCAUGGAUGGGAAACCAAGGUGAACGUAUUGAGUUGUACCGCCGGAUCCCAUAGGCAUUUGCUCCGGGCCAGGCAGGCAUAAUCCUGGUGGAGGUAUCGUGAGGCCGGGUGGCAUUCCGGUUACCAUGGCAUUUCUCAUUGCGAUUUCUCCUGUAAACAUCAAGUAAUAAUAAGAUAAUGAAGCAAUCUUGGAUUUAAAAAAAACGAGCAUAGAUUUAUGAAACAAUUUAUCUCAUUGCACUUCACAGUUUUUCUCUUUGCAUAGAUAAAGAAUUUUAUAAUACAAAAAAGUUUAUCUUAGAAAUAUUCUUGUCUAAGAAAUCUUAUCUAAUUGUAAGAAAUAAUAUUAAGAAU
Molecule: long non-coding RNA, 1153 nt
Organism: Nylanderia fulva
Lineage: Eukaryota; Metazoa; Arthropoda; Insecta; Hymenoptera; Formicidae
Source: RefSeq, a predicted model, not a curated record